RNAcentral lists this ribosomal RNA (217 nucleotides) under uncultured bacterium. RNAcentral describes it as "partial 16S ribosomal RNA". It matches the Rfam family "Bacterial small subunit ribosomal RNA", at positions 99 to 334 of the family's 1533-position model. The record is from RNAcentral.
CGGACGGGUGAGUAACGCGUGAGAAUCUGCCAACAGGACUGGGACAACAGUGGGAAACCGCUGCUAACCCCGGAUGUACCGAAAGGAAAAAUAUUUAUAGCCUGUUGAUGAGCUCGCGUCUGAUUAGCUAGUUGGUGGGGUAAAAGCCUACCAAGGCAUCGAUCAGUAGCUGGUCUGAGAGGACGAUCAGCCACACUGGGACUGAGACACGGCCCAG